CUUGGUCAUUUAGAGGAAGUAAAAGUCGUAACAAGGUAACCGUAGGUGAACCUGCGGUUGGAUCAUUACAAAAUUGGUAUCUUACCAAACAUUGUGUGCACCAUAACUGUUCUUAGCAGUGUAUUGUUUGAGUCAGAUGGCUGGAUCCUUGAGGAUCGAUUCCUCCCUUCAGGGGGGUUCCGAGUCCAAGGUCGAAGGCCACACCUGGCCAGGCAAUCUCUGCCGCCUAUCUAAACAUUGUAUUUAAAACAUUUAGUCUGAAUCAGUUCACCAACAAAGUGAAAUGAAAAACAACUUUUGACAACGGAUCUCUUGGUUCUGGCAUCGAUGAAGAACGCAGCGAAAUGCGAUACGUAAUGUGAAUUGCAGAUUUCAGUGAAUCAUCGAAUCUUUGAACGCACAUUGCGCCCGCCAGUAUUCUGGCGGGCAUGCCUGUUCGAGCGUCAUUAUCAACCAUCAAGCUUGGCUUGUUGUUGGACUUAUUGGCUGGGGGACACCCUGACCGGUCCGAAAGAUAAUGAACGGGUGCUCAGCGGCCUUGGAUGCAACGAGCUUUCUAAGCACGCAUUGAACGGUCGUGAGGCCCGGUCUUCUCUAUUAUUUUUCUAUGGUUGACCUCGGAUCAGGUAGGAAUACCCGCUGAACUUAAGCAUAUCAAUAAGCGGAGGA
RNAcentral lists this ribosomal RNA (669 nucleotides) under uncultured Ascomycota. RNAcentral describes it as "eukaryotic LSU rRNA". The stretch from base 293 to 446 matches the Rfam family "5.8S ribosomal RNA". Lineage: Eukaryota; Fungi; Ascomycota. The record is from RNAcentral.